Molecule: long non-coding RNA, 1002 nt
Organism: Felis catus (domestic cat)
Lineage: Eukaryota; Metazoa; Chordata; Mammalia; Carnivora; Felidae
Exons: 6
Source: RefSeq, a predicted model, not a curated record
AAAAUGUACAAUGUGUAAUAGAGGCUAAACAAAUAGUAGUAAUUAUUACAACUAACAAGUAAAUAUAACAGUUCGUUCCAAGGAGCAUAAAAACCAAGGACCACUUCUUUCGGACUCCACUACCCAGAAUGCCUUUUGGUGAAAUUAAAAGAAGCCAUUGCACAGGUGCAAGGCUUAAAGAAGAAGCAGAAAGCACCUUUGUGAAAAUUCAAGGAAGGCACUCCUUACUCUGAAUAGAAGCAGCACAAAAGAUACCAUUGUUAGGUCACAUGAAAAGACACCUUUAUCAUUUGUUCCCCACAUCAUAACAGAUCAUCACUACCAUCUGUUGAUAGUUAUCUGAGUUGCAAAAAAGUCAAUGUGGCAGCAAGCACAACCUGAACUAAAGCCAGAGGGAGAAUUGUCAGCAUCUCAUGAGAUUCAAGGUAUUUCUGAGCCACGCAAACCAAGAAGAGAUAAUUUCAAGAAGUGUAAAAUACAAGAGAAAUGUAAGCCAAAGUUGUUUAAUGUCACUGCUCUACCUCUUGAAUGUAAUCUUUGAUUUGAUGGAAAACUACUGAUUUAUCCACUGUCUCCAUGUAAGAAUGAAUAUGAUAGCAACCACUAGUGAAACCUGGAAAAUAAAGAUAAGAGAAGGCUCUGAACAGAGCUAUUCACUGGGGAAACAAACCUAUUCCUAUGCAGUUAGUAGAGGUCUAAUUGAAGAAAAGCCAUUCUUACAGAGGAAACAGGCAAACGUUUAUUACAAAACGGACUAUGUAUUUUGAUUAUCAGCUUAAAAGAAAGAUUAAUGUUAUUUUCAAUCCCCACCACUUUAAAAAUAAUUCUGUAUAAGCAUUAAAUGCCAUUUCUAAGCCUUUUAAAUCAAGAUUGCUUGGAUUUCAUACUAGAAGAAGAAAAUGAAUGUUAAAGUGGAAAACAAUUCCCUGAAAGGUGGAAACUCUUAUGGCACUGAAAUAACAGACAAUUGCAUAAUGCAUUUCAGCUCCCGAGAACUCUACC